Molecule: long non-coding RNA, 891 nt
Filed under: Nicotiana benthamiana
Lineage: Eukaryota; Viridiplantae; Streptophyta; Magnoliopsida; Solanales; Solanaceae
Description: long non-coding RNA (NBEN_LNC025795)
Source: RNAcentral
UAGCAAAAAUGAAAAUUAAAAAAGGAUCAAUGGGCAAAGUUUGAACUCAUUUUUGCUGCCCUAAAACUUCACUGUAAAGGCAUUGUUUCUUCACUGUCAAGUCAGUUUUUUGGAGAUUAAAAACCCUGAAAAGUAGAAACGGCUGAGUUGAAACAUACAUAAAUCCCUUGGCAUUUUUUAGUGGAAAUUGGUCUAGUUCUGCUAUCGUUCUUCAGAGUUUGAAAUCUUUUCUAGAAUUUCUUGGCAUUCUGGGUUUAAAAAAUGGUUUAAAGAGACUGAGUUUGCUGUUUUUGCUGAGCUGAUUUUGCUGCUUUUGCUCCUGAUACUUUGCUACUAUUCUCUUCGUCAUUUUGAGCUUAUUUCUUUGUGCUUGAUUGUUGUAAUCGGGUACUCACUGAAUCUUAUUGAGAUAUUAGAAUGGAAGAGUUUUGAAGCUGGCUAAUUCAGUCAAUAUCAAUGAUAUCACUGUUCUUUUAUGCAAUUAUUUGGUUCUGUAAUUAAUUUAACUUUCUUCAUAUUAUAUUUGCUGAUUUCGAUUGUUAGCUUAAGUUCCAUUUGUGAACUUUGUGAGCACCGUUAUUUGAUCGUUUGGUUUAUAAAUGACUUUGAAAUCUUAUUUAUAUUUAUGGACUUUGGGAGUUAUCACAAUAGAAGCUCAGUCCAAAUUAGAUAUGCCUUAGUAUAUACUCGAAUCUGUUGAAAUUAGUUUAUUUUGGAAGCUUGCCUGAGUUUGCUAAAGUAAUAUGAAUGGUUUUUGUGGGAUAAAGAACAUUCAAUUUUAGUUCAUGUUAGUGAAUGUAUUAGUUUCUUGGGAACCAUGUUAGUAUUUUUGUUAUAAAUCAAGGAUUAUGUUAGGCUUCAAGAGAUGACAUAAUCGAGUAUGAGCUAUUA